UAUUGAGGAUACGGGAGCUCGGGUCAGCCGGGCUGAGAGGGUGGACAAUCCCCAGGGAGCUCCACCGACCGUUGGAACCUGAACCGGGUAAUGCUGGCGCAGGGAAUCAUACAGAUCUCUUU
Thermobaculum terrenum ATCC BAA-798 is the source of this 122-nucleotide regulatory RNA element. It matches the Rfam family "TPP riboswitch aptamer (THI element)". Rfam says of the family: Vitamin B(1) in its active form thiamin pyrophosphate (TPP) is an essential coenzyme that is synthesised by coupling of pyrimidine and thiazole moieties in bacteria. Lineage: Bacteria; Bacillati; Chloroflexota; Chloroflexia; Thermobaculales (SeqCode); Thermobaculaceae (SeqCode). The record is from Rfam.